UGGGGAAUAUUGGACAAUGGGCGAAAGCCUGAUCCAGCCAUGCCGCGUGUGUGAAGAAGGUCUUCGGAUUGUAAAGCAAUUUAAGUUGGGAGGAAGGGCAUUAACCUAAUACGUUAGUGUUUUGACGUUACCGACAGAAUAAGCACCGGCUAACUCUGUGCCAGCAGCCGCGGUAAUACAGAGGGUGCAAGCGUUAAUCGGAAUUACUGGGCGUAAAGCGCGCGUAGGUGGUUUGUUAAGUUAGAUGUGAAAUCCCCGGGCUCAACCUGGGAACUGCAUUUAAAACUGACUGACUAGAGUAUGGUAGAGGGUGGUGGAAUUUCCUGUGUAGCGGUGAAAUGCGUAGAUAUAGGAAGGAACACCAGUGGCGAAGGCGACCACCUGGACUAAUACUGACACUGAGGUGCGAAAGCGUGGGGAGCAAACA
RNAcentral lists this ribosomal RNA (427 nucleotides) under uncultured bacterium. RNAcentral's name for it is "partial 16S ribosomal RNA". It matches the Rfam family "Bacterial small subunit ribosomal RNA", at positions 355 to 774 of the family's 1533-position model. The record is from RNAcentral.